RNAcentral lists this ribosomal RNA (1120 nucleotides) under Halomonas sp. T9-26. RNAcentral's name for it is "bacterial SSU rRNA". It matches the Rfam family "Bacterial small subunit ribosomal RNA", at positions 372 to 1494 of the family's 1533-position model. The record is from RNAcentral. Lineage: Bacteria; Pseudomonadati; Pseudomonadota; Gammaproteobacteria; Oceanospirillales; Halomonadaceae.
UGGGCGAAGCCUGAUCCAGCCAUGCCGCGUGUGUGAAGAAGGCCUUCGGGUUGUAAAGCACUUUCAGCGAGGAAGAACGCUUCGGGAUUAAUACUCCCGAGGAAAGACAUCACUCGCAGAAGAAGCACCGGCUAACUCCGUGCCAGCAGCCGCGGUAAUACGGAGGGUGCAAGCGUUAAUCGGAAUUACUGGGCGUAAAGCGCGCGUAGGUGGCUAAGUCAGCCAGGUGUGAAAGCCCCGGGCUCAACCUGGGAACGGCAUCUGGAACUGCUUGGCUAGAGUGCAGGAGAGGAAGGUAGAAUUCCCGGUGUAGCGGUGAAAUGCGUAGAGAUCGGGAGGAAUACCAGUGGCGAAGGCGGCCUUCUGGACUGACACUGACACUGAGGUGCGAAAGCGUGGGUAGCAAACAGGAUUAGAUACCCUGGUAGUCCACGCCGUAAACGAUGUCAACUAGCCGUUGGGUCCCUUGAGGACUUAGUGGCGCAGCUAACGCAAUAAGUUGACCGCCUGGGGAGUACGGCCGCAAGGUUAAAACUCAAAUGAAUUGACGGGGGCCCGCACAAGCGGUGGAGCAUGUGGUUUAAUUCGAUGCAACGCGAAGAACCUUACCUACCCUUGACAUCCAGAGGACUUUCCAGAGAUGGAUUGGUGCCUUCGGGAACUCUGAGACAGGUGCUGCAUGGCUGUCGUCAGCUCGUGUUGUGAAAUGUUGGGUUAAGUCCCGUAACGAGCGCAACCCCUAUCCUUAUUUGCCAGCGAGUAAUGUCGGGAACUCUAAGGAGACUGCCGGUGACAAACCGGAGGAAGGUGGGGACGACGUCAAGUCAUCAUGGCCCUUACGGGUAGGGCUACACACGUGCUACAAUGGCAAGUACAAAGGGUUGCAAUACGGCGACGUGAGCCAAUCCCAUAAAGCUUGCCUCAGUCCGGAUUGGAGUCUGCAACUCGACUCCAUGAAGUCGGAAUCGCUAGUAAUCGUGGAUCAAAUGCCACGGUGAAUACGUUCCCGGCCUUGUACACACCGCCCGUCACACCAUGGGAGUGACUGCACCAGAGUGUAGCCUAACCUCGGAGGGCGAUCACCACGGUGUGGUUCAUGACUGGGGUGAAGUCGGAACAA